Molecule: long non-coding RNA, 824 nt
Filed under: Equus asinus (donkey)
Lineage: Eukaryota; Metazoa; Chordata; Mammalia; Perissodactyla; Equidae
Description: lncRNA (ENSEASG00005023717.1)
Source: RNAcentral
CGAGGGGCUGGUCCAGAAGGAAGCUCAGGCUGUCUGACUCCUUCACAGCCAACAUCUGUGCCUGGCUCCUGCCCUGCCCUGUCCCGGAGCUGCACCCUGCCUCCCCAGCUCUCUACUUCCUCUCUGCAUGGCUUCCUUCUCAGCAGCCCCAGGGGCAUAGUCUUUCUUCUGAAAGACCCACACUCUCAGGGGAGCCCCAAAGAGCUCCCUCACGAAGCUUCCGUGGGACUCUAUCCGUGGAUGCCUAUGGGUUGAGCCCACUGGCUCUGCACAGACCUCCUCAGGCAGCGGGCAGAGGUCUGCAGAGAGAUGAGACCAUGCCCCAAGGGGAGUGAUGAAGAUGCUAGUUCAUGCAGGACUGUGCCAGGGGGAGGCCCACCAACAGCAGCAUCUGGAGGGCCCUCCCACGUCCCACGGGCUCGGGCUCUCCUCUCCCUGGUGGGGUGACGUCUGGCAGCCUGCAAGCCUGGUCCAGGUGUGCAGUGGAAAGAUGAACAGGAAUGUGCCUCUGGGGGAGGACCUCGCCUUCCUCAUGUCGAUGCCAGCUCGCUCCACAUCCCCUGUGCCUGUGCAGGACAGACACAAGUUACUCACGGGCACUACCGAGGGUCUCGGAGCAAACGCUAACACCUGCUGGGGAUGAGACAAUGUACCGAGAUGGGCUGUUGGGAUCCUUCCCUUCCAACUCAGGAGACGUAAAGCGCUCAGGCCCCCUUUCAGGGAAAGGGGCAUUGUGUUUUCUGGGGGUACCUAACCCAGAGUCUUUGAGAGUGACUGCUUAGGCCACAGGGUCAGGCAAUGUUUCCAGGGAAGAGAGAAAGAAC